UACGGGGGGGGCAAGCGUUGUUCGGAAUUACUGGGCGUAAAGGGCUCGUAGGCGGCCAAUUAAGUCAGACGUGAAAUCCCUCGGCUUAACCGGGGAACUGCAUCUGAUACUGGAUGGCUUGAGUUCGGGAGAGGGAUGCGGAAUUCCAGGUGUAGCGGUGAAAUGCGUAGAUAUCUGGAGGAACACCGGUGGCGAAGGCGGCAUCCUGGACCGACACUGACGCUGAGGAGCGAAAGCCAGGGGAGCAAACGGG
This 253-nucleotide ribosomal RNA is filed under the name uncultured bacterium. Its description in RNAcentral is "partial 16S ribosomal RNA". It matches the Rfam family "Bacterial small subunit ribosomal RNA", at positions 524 to 776 of the family's 1533-position model. The record is from RNAcentral.